This 254-nucleotide ribosomal RNA is filed under the name uncultured prokaryote. RNAcentral's name for it is "partial 16S ribosomal RNA". It matches the Rfam family "Bacterial small subunit ribosomal RNA", at positions 524 to 777 of the family's 1533-position model. The record is from RNAcentral.
UACGGAGGAUGCAAGCGUUAUCCGGAUUCAUUGGGUUUAAAGGGUGCGUAGGCGGGCUAUUAAGUCAGUGGUGAAAUCCUGCAGCUUAACUGCAGAACUGCCGUUGAUACUGAUAGUCUUGAGUUUGGUUAAGGUAGGCAGAAUGUGUAAUGUAGCGGUGAAAUGCUUAGAUAUUACACAGAACACCAAUUGCGUAGGCAGCUUACUGAGCCGACACUGACGCUGAGGCGCGAAAGCGUGGGGAUCAAACAGGA